GGCUUUGUAGUCAAAUCGAUGAUAUUAAAUUGCAAAUUUAAAGGUGUAUAAUACUAAAGCUU
This 62-nucleotide transfer RNA is filed under the name Cloresmus pulchellus. RNAcentral's name for it is "tRNA-Cys". It matches the Rfam family "tRNA". From Rfam's summary of the family: Transfer RNA (tRNA) molecules are approximately 80 nucleotides in length. Lineage: Eukaryota; Metazoa; Arthropoda; Insecta; Hemiptera; Coreidae. The record is from RNAcentral.